GAUGAAGAACGCAGCGAAACGCGAUAAGUAAUGUGAAUUGCAGAAUCCAGUGAAUCAUCGAGUCUUUGAACGCACAUUGCGCCCGCCAGCAUUCUGGCGGGCAUGCCUGUUCGAGCGUCAUUUCAACCCUCGACCUCCCCUUGGGGAGGUCGGCGUUGGGGACCGGCAGCACACCGCCGGCCCUGAAAUGGAGUGGCGGCCCGUCCGCGGCGACCUCUGCGCAGUAAUACAGCUCGCACCGGGACCCCGACGCGGCCACGCCGUAAAACACCCAACUUCUGAACGUUGACCUCGAAUCAGGUAGGACUACCCGCUGAACUUAAGCAUAUCAAUAAGCGGAGGA
RNAcentral lists this unclassified non-coding RNA (343 nucleotides) under soil metagenome. RNAcentral describes it as "partial contains 5.8S ribosomal RNA, internal transcribed spacer 2, and large subunit ribosomal RNA". The stretch from base 1 to 120 matches the Rfam family "5.8S ribosomal RNA", at positions 35 to 154 of the family's 154-position model. The record is from RNAcentral.